RNAcentral lists this ribosomal RNA (460 nucleotides) under uncultured bacterium. Its description in RNAcentral is "partial 16S ribosomal RNA". It matches the Rfam family "Bacterial small subunit ribosomal RNA", at positions 338 to 795 of the family's 1533-position model. The record is from RNAcentral.
CCUACGGGAGGCAGCAGUGAGGAAUAUUGGUCAAUGGGCGCGAGCCUGAACCAGCCAAGUCGCGUGAAGGAUGAAUGCCCUACUGGUUGUAAACUUCUUUUAUAAAGGAAUAAAGUGAGGCACGUGUGCCUUUUUGUAUGUACUUUAUGAAUAAGGAUCGGCUAACUCCGUGCCAGCAGCCGAGGUAAUACGGAGGAUCCGAUCGUUAUCCGGAUUUAGUGGGUUGAAAGGGAGCGUAGAUGGGUUGUUAACUCAGUGGUGAAAGUUUGCGGCUCAACCGUAAAAUUGCAAUUGAUACUGGCAGUCUUGAGUACAGUGGAGGUAGGCGGAAUUCGUGGUGUAGCGGUGAAAUGCGUAGAUAGCACGAAGAACUCCGAUUGCGAAGGCAGCUUACUAAGCUGCCACUGACAUUGAUGCUCGAAAGUGUGGGUAUCAAACAGGAUUAGAUACCCUUGUAGUC